This 560-nucleotide long non-coding RNA is filed under the name Manihot esculenta (cassava). RNAcentral describes it as "long non-coding RNA (MESC_LNC000565)". The record is from RNAcentral. Lineage: Eukaryota; Viridiplantae; Streptophyta; Magnoliopsida; Malpighiales; Euphorbiaceae.
AAUUUGAUCAUGUCCAUUACUAGCUAUUACAUAAACAUGACUUCUUUACUCUAUCCGGACUCCCGCACUAUACUGUACCUGCAAGCCUGGGGGUAAAGGGAGAGGGGUGAGCUAAAAGCCCAGUGAGUAGAGCUAUUAAAACACAUUAACACUAUGCUCUAUGAAAUGCAUCAUAACACAAACAAUCCACAUAAGGGUUGGGUGAACUCGUCACCAAUUAGUCCAAGUUAACUCUGUGCCAGGCCUGUAGAAUGGGGUCCUGGUCUUUCCUGUCAGAACAUACAUUACUUACCAUUCUCCCAAGGCCUCGUCUGGCUCCUGGUCUUCAAGUCCCAUAACCGUACUAGACCAUAGGAUGGGAUCCUGGUCUUUCCUUACUCUGUGCCAGGCCUGUAGACUGGGGCCUGGUCUUUCUUACUCUGUGCCAGGCCUGUAGCAUGGGGCCUGGUCUUCCUGUCUUGGACUAAUUGGGUCAUCCGACAUUCACCCACAACAACAACAAUUUAUGCGAUGCGGCAUAUUCGUGAAAACUAAUGCAAUCAUCCUAUUGCAUAAUCAUG